AGAGUUUGAUCCUGGCUCAGGAUGAACGCUGGCGGUCUGCUUAACACAUGCAAGUCGAACGGAACUUUUCGGAGUUCAGUGGCGGACGGGUGAGUAACGCGUGAGAAUCUGCCUUCUGGUCGGGGACAACCACUGGAAACGGUGGCUAAUACCGGAUGAGCCUACGGGUAAAAGAUUUAUUGCCAGAAGAGGAGCUCGCGUCUGAUUAGCUAGUUGGUGAGGUAAAGGCUCACCAAGGCAUCGAUCAGUAGCUGGUCUGAGAGGAUGACCAGCCACACUGGGACUGAGACACGGCCCAGACUCCUACGGGAGGCAGCAGUGGGGAAUUUUCCGCAAUGGGCGAAAGCCUGACGGAGCAAGACCGCGUGAGGGAGGAAGGCUCUUGGGUUGUAAACCUCUUUUCUUGGGGAAGAAAAAAGUGACGGUACCCAAGGAAUCAGCAUCGGCUAACUCCGUGCCAGCAGCCGCGGUAAUACGGAGGAUGCAAGCGUUAUCCGGAAUUAUUGGGCGUAAAGCGUCCGCAGGUGGCACUUCAAGUCUGCUGUCAAAGGUCGGGGCUUAACCCCGGGAAGGCAGUGGAAACUGAAGCGCUAGAGUGUCGUAGGGGUAGAGGGAAUUCCCGGUGUAGCGGUGAAAUGCGUAGAGAUCGGGAAGAACAUCGGUGGCGAAAGCGCUCUACUGGACGACAACUGACACUCAGGGACGAAAGCUAGGGGAGCGAAUGGGAUUAGAUACCCUAGUAGUCC
This 746-nucleotide ribosomal RNA is filed under the name uncultured bacterium. RNAcentral's name for it is "bacterial SSU rRNA". It matches the Rfam family "Bacterial small subunit ribosomal RNA", at positions 8 to 796 of the family's 1533-position model. The record is from RNAcentral.